Geobacillus sp. BCO2 is the source of this 37-nucleotide non-coding RNA. NCBI's taxonomy places the organism in Bacteria, Bacillati, Bacillota, Bacilli, Caryophanales, Anoxybacillaceae. The record is from Rfam.
GUUGCACCCGGCUAUUAAGCCGGGUGAGGAUUGAAAC